GUCAUGCUGAUUGUAGAUGUCGCCUCUUCCAGUGACUUACUGAUAAAAGUGAUUCGACAAAUAUUUGAUUUCAGUGAGACCCGUGACGCACAAGGGGAAGUAAUCUACGACACAGCCCUUCCAAUAUGGCGCCGAGGUCGUGUCAGUCCAUAAGAAGCAGAGAUCAUCUGCUGGACGAAGAUGUCCUCGACGAUGCAGCCCCCAGAGAGGAAGAGGUCAGCAAGGGGAAGGACACGCCGAUAUCCACAGUGACCCGCCUCGCGCUGAACAUGGACCUGGGGGGCAACGAGGCGUUCUGCAACUUCGAACACCUGUACACCAUGCCGAAUCUUCAGACGCUCGGCAUGCCGCUAAACCUCGUGUCUGUGACGUCAUUGGUCUCUGGUCCUACCGCUACUCUCCUCAUCCGCUGAUUGGUUGGAUCAGCGACCGAGGCGCCACCCCGCACACGCGCAAGGCCGUGGCAGUUCUCGGCACCGCCGCCAUCCGCCUGGUGGGCAUCGCCACCGUCAUACUGGCCAACUUGCUCAUGAUGGCCACGCACACCGGAAGUGUGCCUUCCACAGUAGGAUCCGGCACUGUAAACUUCACGACGACGUCACGUGACUGGGAUGCGACUGCUAAAAGAGAACACCACCACCGUGGUCGACUGGGCGUCGACAGGGUCAGGAUGAAUGACGUCAGCGUCAGUGACCUCAGCAGCCGGAAGUCAAGAUGACGUCAUACCGCUGGUCGCCUGGCUGAGCAUGCUGGGAUUCGUCCUCAUCGAUAUCGGCGUGGACUCGAACAGCGCGGCCGUCAAGAUUUACGCGGUGGCCAGCGCCCGCGCAGUCAGCAGACGUCUGUCCUGGUCACCGGCGUGUUAUUGGCGGCGCUGGGCGGCAUGGCAACUGCUUCCACCGGGAUGAUCGACCUGGGCGCCCUCGUCGGACCAGCAGACGAGGCAGUCAAAGCCGCUGCUAAAGUCAUCAUACACGGAACGAUCAUCUUUCUGUUGGCCCUGCUGACCUCUUUCGCUACCAUCGUCACAGGAAAGAGACUUGUCAAGGGCAAGCAAACCAGCGAGCCAGAUGAAAAUAAAGGGAGUUCAGAGUUCAGAACCCCAGACGAGGAGUCUGACAGGAAGAGAACCCAAUCCUUCUUGGAGGCCUCCACCAGGAGCAUGUUGCUGUCGUCAAGGAGUUCUGGUCUGGGAUGCGAGACGUCUGCUCUGAUAGACGACAAGAAAACGAGUUUGGAGAGGAUGCCUCUUCUCGCAGAGGUCAGGUCACCGACACUGAGUGAGGACAAUGUCCUAGAGUUGCUUGUUUCCAACGGAAACUACUCCACUAUCCCUGAUGUUCCUUCCAACCGUUUUCAGUCGACUCCGGCACUACAUACGAUGCGGGAAAAUAUGAUCAGCAGAAGGAAGGGUCACUGAUGAAGCCGGGUCAUCGCACUAGUCACCUGCUUUAUUGCCUUGGAAGCGGUUACAAGACAAACAUUGCAUUGCUGUGUUUGUCCACAUUCCUGGGCGUGGCCCAGCUUCUCGUGUACUCCAUGACUAUUUCGGACUUUGUGGGCAAAGGCAUCAUGAAGGGGGAUCCCCUGGCGGCACCUGACAGCGAGAGUCUGGCUCUGUACCAGACAGGGGUCCGGCUGUCCUCUACUGGGUUUCUGGUCUACUACGGCUUUUAUUUGAUCUCCGGCAUUGCCAACGUCAAGUUGCUGAAAAACUCGGUUACAGGUGCGAAUAUCUGGCUGCAAACUUGCUGAUGAGCGCGUGCCUACUGCUGCUGAGGAUCACAGAGAGGAUGGAGGUGUUCUUCCUGCUGUCCGCUUUUGCUGGCAUCCAGCGUCAGUGUCUUCUUGUCAUCCCCUUCGCCGUGGCCAACGACCUUACUCAAACUCAGGAGCAGGGUGGGAGCAAAGGCGUGGGCCGGGUGCUGUCGCUGGUGGGCGCCAUGAUGCCGCUGUCGUAUGUCGCUGUGUACACGUGGAUGGGGGCGCUGGAGGACGUCACGGGCGAUGUCGGGGUCAGCUUGCUGGUGGCCAUGGUCUGCGGCAUCUUGACCUCACUCACUUUCUUGCUCAUCAGGGUCAGCUGAAUUCGGCAUCCGCCAAGUGGGGCGCCACGCGAAGCCAGCGUGACCUCUGACGCAAGCACCGACAUUUUAUUUUAAAGGGGUAGAGAGUAAGUUUAUUAAAGAGGCUGACCUCGCGAUGCGAAUUUUGCUGAGAGCAAGACCUGGGGAAGAUUGGGGUAGAGAACCUGUUCACAAGUACUUCGGCAUGUUCACAUGCACGUUCAUGUGUUCAACUCUAUCUGGGCUAAGGACAUAGGUUUUCAUUUUUUUUACGACACCUGAAACUUUCGGUGGUAUGGCAAGGCCCAGUAAGGCUGUAGGUGAAAACCGCGAACAUAUUUAUAACUGAUUCGC
Molecule: long non-coding RNA, 2420 nt
Organism: Pomacea canaliculata
Lineage: Eukaryota; Metazoa; Mollusca; Gastropoda; Architaenioglossa; Ampullariidae
Exons: 5
Source: RefSeq, a predicted model, not a curated record